UACGUAGGUGGCGAGCGUUAUCCGGAAUUAUUGGGCGUAAAGCGCGCGCAGGUGGUUUCUUAAGUCUGAUGUGAAAGCCCACGGCUCAACCGUGGAGGGUCAUUGGAAACUGGGAGACUUGAGUGCAGAAGAGGAAAGUGGAAUUCCAUGUGUAGCGGUGAAAUGCGUAGAGAUAUGGAGGAACACCAGUGGCGAAGGCGACUUUCUGGUCUGUAACUGACACUGAGGCGCGAAAGCGUGGGGAGCAAACAGG
Molecule: ribosomal RNA, 253 nt
Filed under: uncultured bacterium
Lineage: Bacteria
Description: partial 16S ribosomal RNA
Rfam family: Bacterial small subunit ribosomal RNA
Source: RNAcentral